Molecule: long non-coding RNA, 373 nt
Filed under: Prunus persica (peach)
Lineage: Eukaryota; Viridiplantae; Streptophyta; Magnoliopsida; Rosales; Rosaceae
Description: long non-coding RNA (PPER_LNC005657)
Source: RNAcentral
CCGGCGUCCCCUUCCCAUUUCAAGUCAACGUCCCACACCUACGCGCCAUCCAAUCCCUCUAAUUUCUCAUACUCUCAUAUUUCUUUCCCUUGUCAAUUUAAUCACAUGUCCAAUUUUAUAAUUGACCCACUUGAGCCUCUGAGUGACUCAUCUUUUGGUGGACUCCUUUUUUUUUUUUUUUUUUUUUUGUAGCUUCUUCGAAAUUCCUUAAUCUAUAAUUAUAUAAAAGUACUCUGAUUUUUCCCAAAACAUUAUAUAAUUUUAAUUAUUCAUGUUCAUAAUUUACUAAUUUGAAAUCUUUUUCUCUUGGAAAAAAGAUAACACUAUUUUUAUUUUAUAAAUUCAAGCGACGUUGGCGGAUGAUGAAUUCGAA